RNAcentral lists this ribosomal RNA (465 nucleotides) under uncultured bacterium. RNAcentral describes it as "partial 16S ribosomal RNA". It matches the Rfam family "Bacterial small subunit ribosomal RNA", at positions 338 to 795 of the family's 1533-position model. The record is from RNAcentral.
CCUACGGGAGGCAGCAGUGGGGAAUAUUGCGCAAUGGGCGAAAGCCUGACGCAGCGACGCCGCGUGAGGGAUGAAGGUCUUCGGAUCGUAAACCUCUGUCAGCAGGGAAGAACGGUCACUGUGCUAAUCAGCAGUGAAUUGACGGUACCUGCAAAGGAAGCACCGGCUAACUCCGUGCCAGCAGCCGCGGUAAUACGGAGGGUGCGAGCGUUAAUCGGAAUUACUGGGCGUAAAGCGCUCGUAGGCGGUAUGUCAAGUCAAGGGGGAAAUCCCCGCGCUCAACGUGGGAACUGACUUUGAAACUGGCAAACUGGAGUGUGUGAGAGGAUAGUGGAAUUCCAGGUGUAGGAGUGAAAUCCGUAGAUAUCUGGAGGAACAUCAGUGGCGAAGGCGACUAUCUGGCACAUAACUGACGCUGAGGAGCGAAAGCGUGGGUAGCAAACAGGAUUAGAUACCCGGGUAGUC